Diceros bicornis minor is the source of this 695-nucleotide non-coding RNA. NCBI's taxonomy places the organism in Eukaryota, Metazoa, Chordata, Mammalia, Perissodactyla, Rhinocerotidae. The record is from the annotation of a RefSeq genome assembly.
UCUCUGGGGAAGGUAGAGCUGUGGUCUAGAAGAAGAUGAGACUGUUGGGUCUUCUCCUUUGCCUGGUGACGGCUCCCCAAGGUGUUCUGUGCCAGCUGCAGCUGUGGGAGUCAGACCCAGGACUGGUGAAGCCCUCGCAGACCCUCUCCCUCACCUUCUCUGUCUUUGGAUUCUCCAUGACAACCAGCAGUUACUACUGGAGCUGGAUCCGCCAGCCCCCAGGAAAGAGCCUGCAGUGCAUGGGGUAUGUAAGUUAUAGUGGUAGCAAGUACUACAACCCAUUCCUCAAGAGCCGCAUCUCCAUCUCCAGAGACACGUCCAAGAUCCAGUUCUCCCUACAACUGAGCUCCGUGAUCGCUGAUGAGACAGCCGUAUAUUACUGUGCAAGAGACACAGUGAGGGGAACCCAGACUGCACCAGCUGGACUGGGAGUGGGCGCCUAUGGAGAAAACAUAGGGAAGAUGGGGGCCCUGCAGCUGCACCAGCUUCCUCCUCAGCCUGGUGUCCUGGGUCUCCCUCCCUGGGGCAGCUUCCAGCAGGACACGGUGCCCACCUCACUCCAUGGGUUGCUCUUGCUGCAGGUGCUCAGAGAGGCUCAGCUGUCCCACUGGAAGGCUGGUUGUAAGACUCAGCUGUGUGGCUGCUGUGGUCCUUUCAACAACAUCAUUGGGCAUGAGGAGCCCCUGCACAGUUAG